RNAcentral lists this ribosomal RNA (465 nucleotides) under Vreelandella stevensii. Its description in RNAcentral is "partial 16S ribosomal RNA". It matches the Rfam family "Bacterial small subunit ribosomal RNA", at positions 338 to 795 of the family's 1533-position model. The record is from RNAcentral. Lineage: Bacteria; Pseudomonadati; Pseudomonadota; Gammaproteobacteria; Oceanospirillales; Halomonadaceae.
CCUACGGGAGGCAGCAGUGGGGAAUAUUGGACAAUGGGCGAAAGCCUGAUCCAGCCAUGCCGCGUGUGUGAAGAAGGCCUUCGGGUUGUAAAGCACUUUCAGUGGGGAAGAAAGCCUUGGGGCUAAUACCCUCGAGGAAGGACAUCACCCACAGAAGAAGCACCGGCUAACUCCGUGCCAGCAGCCGCGGUAAUACGGAGGGUGCGAGCGUUAAUCGGAAUUACUGGGCGUAAAGCGCGCGUAGGCGGUCUGAUAAGCCGGUUGUGAAAGCCCCGGGCUCAACCUGGGAACGGCAUCCGAAACUGUCAGGCUAGAGUGCAGGAGAGGAAGGUAGAAUUCCCGGUGUAGCGGUGAAAUGCGUAGAGAUCGGGAGGAAUACCAGUGGCGAAGGCGGCCUUCUGGACUGACACUGACGCUGAGGUGCGAAAGCGUGGGUAGCAAACAGGAUUAGAUACCCCAGUAGUC